RNAcentral lists this unclassified non-coding RNA (365 nucleotides) under uncultured Amanita. RNAcentral's name for it is "sequence contains ITS2". The stretch from base 1 to 154 matches the Rfam family "5.8S ribosomal RNA". Lineage: Eukaryota; Fungi; Basidiomycota; Agaricomycetes; Agaricales; Amanitaceae. The record is from RNAcentral.
AACUUUUAACAAUGGAUCACUUGGCUCUCGCAUCGAUGAAGAACACAGCGAAAUGCGAUAAGUAAUGUGAAUUGCAGAAUCCAGUGAAUCAUCGAAUCUUUGAACGCAUCUUGCGCUCCUUGGCAUUCCGAGGAGCAUGCCUGUUUGAGUGUCAUUAAACUAUCAAAACACUUUUUCUCGAGGUGUUUUGGACUUUGGGAUCACUGUGCUGGUCUCUGUUUGAGCCAGCUCUCCUCAAAAGCAUUAACUUUGAGACCAUCAGUGUGAUAAUUUGUUUGCACUGGCUUCUCUUUUUUAACUGCCCCUUUGACCUCAAAUCAGGUAGGACUACCCGCUGAACUUAAGCAUAUCAAUAAGCGGAGGCU